UGACGGGGACCCGCACAAGCGGUGGAGCAUGUGGUUUAAUUCGAAGCAACGCGAAGAACCUUACCAAAUCUUGACAUCCUUUGACCGCUCUAGAGAUAGAGUUUUCCCCUUCGGGGGACAAAGUGACAGGUGGUGCAUGGUUGUCGUCAGCUCGUGUCGUGAGAUGUUGGGUUAAGUCCCGCAACGAGCGCAACCCUUAAGCUUAGUUGCCAUCAUUAAGUUGGGCACUCUAAGUUGG
This 238-nucleotide ribosomal RNA is filed under the name Staphylococcus warneri. RNAcentral describes it as "partial 16S ribosomal RNA". It matches the Rfam family "Bacterial small subunit ribosomal RNA", at positions 911 to 1148 of the family's 1533-position model. The record is from RNAcentral. Lineage: Bacteria; Bacillati; Bacillota; Bacilli; Caryophanales; Staphylococcaceae.